Selaginella moellendorffii is the source of this 518-nucleotide long non-coding RNA. RefSeq lists it as uncharacterized. The record is from RefSeq and is a predicted model, not a curated record. The transcript has 2 exons. Lineage: Eukaryota; Viridiplantae; Streptophyta; Lycopodiopsida; Selaginellales; Selaginellaceae.
GAAGGGCGGUCGCGCAUUGAGCAUUGUGGGUCAGUGCAGCGCAGCACCCUCACUCUCUCUGGCCUAGGGCACCCACGAAUGAUGAUGAAUUUGGGAUAUUUCGGGUGGUAUGGAGAGCUGCAGUGUUGCUAGGGAUUGAUAGCAAUGGCUGCGAUCACAGCUCCAGAUUCCAGUGUUCUGGAGCAAUUCCAUCACUUGUCAUCGGCUUCUCCCCUGCGUUGCCAUCCAACUCGACGACCUCCAUCCUCAAGAAUUGUGGCGCAAGAUGGAGGAAGCAGGAGGAUUCGACGAUCGCCUAGAUGCUGCAGCAGGUAACAAUGGGAGCAUUGAUGAUUGCGAACAGCACAGUGGCAGUUGGCAAUGCGGGGAGGACACGGCGAUGGCCAUCGAUGAUGAUCAAGGCUACCACACUCCCAAAUUUUAGAUGGAGUUCACUUACGCUUGCUAUGAACACUAUGUUAAAAGAGGUGUGCCAAAAAAGGAUAAUUCAGUUCUUUUGCCAUGAGUGCCAAGAGCAA